GCAGCAGUAGUAUAACUGGUUAGUAUUUCGGCUUCCCAAGUCGAACACCCGGGUUCAAAUCCCGGCUGCUGCA
RNAcentral lists this transfer RNA (73 nucleotides) under Nanobdellota archaeon. Its description in RNAcentral is "tRNA-Gly". It matches the Rfam family "tRNA". From Rfam's summary of the family: Transfer RNA (tRNA) molecules are approximately 80 nucleotides in length. The record is from RNAcentral. Lineage: Archaea; Nanobdellati; Nanobdellota.